Molecule: non-coding RNA, 2170 nt
Organism: Punica granatum (pomegranate)
Lineage: Eukaryota; Viridiplantae; Streptophyta; Magnoliopsida; Myrtales; Lythraceae
Source: RefSeq, a predicted model, not a curated record
UUUCCCCUUUCAACUCUUCCCUCUUCCCUUAUUCUCUUCCUCAUCCUCCACUACACUACCAACACUACUGCCGCCACCACUCCCCUACCCUUUGUUGAAUUGUGGCCACCGUAGGCUUGAACAACUUUGGGAGAGCAGCUACAACGAACUCGAGCUCGUGGAGAAGACUCGAGUAGCGCUGCAAUAGCUCCGGGGAGGCUUAAAAGGGGUUGGACAGUGGCACAACAAUGGUUCAACAAAGAGCAGAGAGGCUUGGAGCACCAGCAGCAGCAACAACGAGUAGGGGAGGGGCAUGGAGCACCAGGAACAAAAGGGGCACGGAGAUGGUGAUGUCAAUGACCUUCAAGGGGAGGAGAUAGAUGGGUUAUGUUGGUGUCAGAAAUAAUGAAGGAGAUGGGGAUGGUGGAUAUGGCAGAGUCGAGGAAAAGAGGGAGAGGGUGAUAGCUAUGGAGCAGGAAAGGAAGCUCUGUGUGUGUUUCUCUGUGUGUGGGGGCCGAGAGAGAGAGGCGACAACAACGGAGAAGAUAAAGAUGAAGUUGAAGGGGAUUAAGAGGAUGGUGAAGAUUACAGGCUUGAAUCUGAUUACUCGAGAUACUUAUCGGGUUGAUGAUGAGCAUAUUGUGGAGUUUGUUGAUCCUUGCAAUAGCUUGGCAACCCCUGAUCAGCAACAAUAUGAUGAGAAGAGCAUAAGAAGAAGGGUAUGGCAUACGAAACAACAUUGAAAAGAAAGCAGCAUAUUUGCAGGAACCAGAGGAACAAGUAAGAUCACGGUUAGCCAUCGAAUAAUUUCUUACAUUUGCCCUUGAGAUCCUUCAACUGUAUUACACUUGUUGACUACAAGCUCCUGAGGUACUUUUGUAUAUCUUUCCUCAAGUUCAUAAGUUUGCAGAACCUGAUACAAAGAAAUAAGCAAUUAUAUUCGGGUGAAAAUGCUCUAAGUGGGGGCAUUGCUUUAUCAUUCGUUUUGGUUCAGGUAAAUCCGCCUCCCAUCACCAUCAUCAGCUUCAUCCCCCUCUUCUCUCUCUCUCUCGAUCUGGACAUCACCCACACACAGACUAGCCCUUCCUUUCCUCUUUUCCUCUUCACACCAUCACUCACGGCAAUUCUUGCCUCCUCUCAUCCGCUGUUUCCACAGCUCUCAAGCUAUUGUUGCUGCUGCCUUACCUCCCCGUGAGCUUCCUGAGUCGCUAGGUCUUUGCUGGUGUCCUCCUCCCUCGAGUUUCUGCUCCUCUACUCCACUGCUGCUCUAUUGCAGGAGGUGGCCUCUCAAAGAAGGGGAAGCAAAAUAGGGGUGUUUCUUUGACGUCCCGGGGGUGGGGGAGUGGUGGCGGCGGUGGUGUUAGCAAUGGCAGUGAAGAACAGGAAUUGGGUAAGAAAAAAAAAUAAAAGAAGAGAUAUAGGAGGGAAGAGAAAAAACGGACAGGCCAAUGGGGUGGACACACGUGGCAAAUAAUGGCCAGCGGGACAGCUGUUAACGACCACAUUUGCUCGAAAUCGACAGAGGCUUCGACAAACCCUAGCAAAAGAAACGCGAUCGACAGAGGCUUCUUCGAUUCCUCCCUUGUUUGGGUUUGGCUUCCUCCCUCGACAGAAAUCGACAAUCGGAAAGCCGAAAUCUCCACUGCUGGAGCAACCAGCAAGGGAGAAAAGGAGGAGGGAAAGGGGGAGGACGGUGAGGUGUAGAUUGAGAGGAAGUGGAGCCCGUGGUGGACGAGGAUGGCGAUGGACUGGAAGAGGAUUUUGAGAGUUGAGACGAAGGAAGAAGAGGAAGAAGAAGAAGAAGAGGAUGACAGAGCGGUCGAGACGAUGGACUGGUGAGGGUUUUCAAGUUCGUCUCUUUCCGCAUGGUCUUGUCGGUCGAUUGAUCAGCCGUUGAUGAUUUUCUUCUUUGUCUGCUUCGUCUUCUUGGUUUCUUCGAUUUCGAUUCGAUCUGUGUCGAGUGAGGGAGGGGGUGCAGGAGGUUAUCCAUGGCUGUUGCUGCUGUUCAUCUUCGGAGAAGAAGAUGAAUAGUGGCUUUUUUUUAUAUUUAAAAUCAAUGGUAUAUGUGUUUUUUGGCUUUGACACAUGUCAUAUUCCUCAUGUAUUCCGAUUAACCAAAUAUAAAAUUUCAAUUCUCAGAUUUGUUAUUUCCUCUAAUCAAACAAAUAAAAGUUGAUCGGAAUUUUUAUUA